GGGCGCGUAGCUCAGCUGGUUAGAGCGCACGGUUCACAUCCGUGAGGUUCGGAGGUUCGAGUCCUCUCGCGCCCA
This 75-nucleotide transfer RNA is filed under the name Pelolinea sp. RNAcentral's name for it is "tRNA-Val". It matches the Rfam family "tRNA". From Rfam's summary of the family: Transfer RNA (tRNA) molecules are approximately 80 nucleotides in length. The record is from RNAcentral. Lineage: Bacteria; Bacillati; Chloroflexota; Anaerolineae; Anaerolineales; Anaerolineaceae. RNAcentral also lists the same sequence under 1 other name.